Molecule: long non-coding RNA, 179 nt
Organism: Bradysia coprophila
Lineage: Eukaryota; Metazoa; Arthropoda; Insecta; Diptera; Sciaridae
Source: RefSeq, a predicted model, not a curated record
CAAAUGUCGAAAAAUAAACAAUCCGUAUGAAUGCUGAAAGCAUCCGUAUGAAUGCCGAAAGCAGUCCGUAUGAAUGCCGAAAGCAAUCCUUAUGAAUGCAUUGUCACAAAACACUAAAAAAUUAUAUUCGCGUGCAUACAACGACUUGACACAUCUGGGAAAUAAUAAACAUAGGAUCG